UACGGGGGGGGCAAGCGUUGUUCGGAAUUACUGGGCGUAAAGGGCCAGUAGGCGGCCAACUAAGUCCGACGUGAAAUCCCCAGGCUUAACCUGGGAACUGCAUCCGAUACUGGAUGGCUUGAAUCCGGGAGAGGGAUGCAGAAUUCCAGGUGUAGCGGUGAAAUGCGUAGAUAUCUGGAGGAAUACCGGUGGCGAAGGCGGCAUCCUGGACCGGCAUUGACGCUGAUGAGCGAAAGCUAGGGGAGCAAACGGG
Molecule: ribosomal RNA, 253 nt
Filed under: uncultured bacterium
Lineage: Bacteria
Description: partial 16S ribosomal RNA
Rfam family: Bacterial small subunit ribosomal RNA
Source: RNAcentral